ACUAUGCUUGGCCCUAAACCUCAGUAGUUAGAUAACAAAACUACUCGCCAGAAUACUACGAGCUACAGCUUAAAACUCAAAGGACUUGACGGUGCUUUACACCCCCUAGAGGAGCCUGUUCCGUAAUCGAUAAACCCCGAUCCACCCCACCCUCUCUUGCUCAGCCUAUAUACCGCCAUCUUCAGCAAACCCUAAUGAAGGUCACAAAGUGAGCGCAAACGCCGUCACCGCGAAUACGUUAGGUCAAGGUGUAGCCUAUGAGAUGGUAAAAAAUGGGCUACAUUUUCUACCUCAGAAAAUUCCACGAAAACCCUUAUGAAAUUUAAGGGCCCAAGGAGGAUUUAGCAGUAAAUUAAGAAUAGAGUGCUUAAUUGAACCAGGCCAUAAAGCGCGCACACACCGCCCGUCACUCCUCUCAAAUAUAUUUAAGGAACAUCUUAACUAAACGCCCUAAUAUUUAUAUAGAGAGGAUAAGUCGUAACAUGGUAAGCGUACUGGAAGGUGCGCUUGGAUAAAU
RNAcentral lists this ribosomal RNA (517 nucleotides) under Macaca cyclopis (Taiwan macaque). RNAcentral's name for it is "partial 12S ribosomal RNA". It matches the Rfam family "Bacterial small subunit ribosomal RNA", at positions 789 to 1533 of the family's 1533-position model. Lineage: Eukaryota; Metazoa; Chordata; Mammalia; Primates; Cercopithecidae. The record is from RNAcentral.